RNAcentral lists this ribosomal RNA (450 nucleotides) under uncultured bacterium. Its description in RNAcentral is "partial 16S ribosomal RNA". It matches the Rfam family "Bacterial small subunit ribosomal RNA", at positions 338 to 795 of the family's 1533-position model. The record is from RNAcentral.
CCUACGGGUGGCUGCAGUCGAGAAUCUUCGGCAAUGGGGGAAACCCUGACCGAGCGACGCCGCGUGUGGGAUGAAGGCCCUUGGGUUGUAAACCACUGUCAGAGGGGAUGAAGUGCUAGAAAGCUAUCUUUCUAGUUUGACAUAGCCUCAGAGGAAGCACGGGCUAAGUUCGUGCCAGCAGCCGCGGUAAGACGAACUGUGGAAACGUUAUUCGGAAUCACUGGGCUUGAAGAGUGCGUAAGCGGUUUCUGAAAGCCCUCGGCUCAACCGGGGAAUUGCGGCCUAAACUGCGAGGCUAGAGUGAGGUAGGGGUGUGUGGAACUUCCAGUGGAGCGGUGAAAUGUGUUGAUAUUGGAAGGAACGCCGGUGGCGAAAGCGACACACUGGACCUUGUCUGACGCUGAGGCACGAAAGCCAGGGGAGCAAACGGGAUUAGAUACCCCAGUAGUC